Molecule: ribosomal RNA, 195 nt
Filed under: uncultured bacterium
Lineage: Bacteria
Description: partial 16S ribosomal RNA
Rfam family: Bacterial small subunit ribosomal RNA
Source: RNAcentral
CCUACGGGAGGCAGCAGUGGGGAAUAUUGCACAAUGGGGGAAACCCUGACGCAGCGACGCCGCGUGAGUGAGGAAGGUUUUCGGAUCGUAAAGCUCUGUCAGAAGGGAAGAAGUGUUAUACAGUUAAUACCUGUAUAAUUUGACGGUACCUUCAGAGGAAGCACCGGCUAACUCCGUGCCAGCAGCCGCGGUAAU